This 23-nucleotide small nuclear RNA is filed under the name Arabidopsis thaliana (thale cress). RNAcentral describes it as "snRNA_13114". Lineage: Eukaryota; Viridiplantae; Streptophyta; Magnoliopsida; Brassicales; Brassicaceae. The record is from RNAcentral.
GUAUAUAAAGUAAAUAUUGGAUA